Molecule: ribosomal RNA, 266 nt
Filed under: uncultured bacterium
Lineage: Bacteria
Description: partial 16S ribosomal RNA
Rfam family: Bacterial small subunit ribosomal RNA
Source: RNAcentral
UAUGGCGACCGGCGCACGGGUGAGUAACACGUAUCCAACCUGCCGAUGACUCGGGGAUAGCCUUUCGAAAGAAAGAUUAAUACCCGAUGGCAUAGUUCUUCCGCAUGGUAGAACUAUUAAAGAAUUUCGGUCAUCGAUGGGGAUGCGUUCCAUUAGCUUGUUGGCGGGGUAACGGCCCACCAAGGCAUCGAUGGAUAGGGGUUCUGAGAGGAAGGUCCCCCACACUGGUACUGAGACACGGACCAGACUCCUACGGGAGGCAGCAG